CGUGCUCCGUGGACAGGCCGACGUUGAUGGCGUGCCGGAACGCCUUGGUCCACGUCACGAUGACCGCCUCCAGCGCCUCCCACGCCAUCCUCGCCACGUCGUCGACGUUGGGCUUGUCGUAGCCGAGCCCCCGCAGCGCCGCGUCGAACGCGUUCCGCCGCGUGACCAGGAAUAUCUGCGAGCACUCCGUCACGUAGCCCGCGGCGACCAUGGCGUCGGCCAUGGCGCGGAGCCGGUCCACGGUCUCCGGCGGGUACGGCGGCGCGGGCUCGUCCCGUCCGGCGGCGUCCGGCGGCGCGAGGACGCAGCGGUCGGGCUCGUGCUCGCCCCCGGCCCUGGGGACGCGCGGGCCCUCCAGCAGCGCGUGGAACUCUUCCUCGACGAACGCCAUGGCCCGGUGCAGCACGGCCGUGACUCGGCUCACGGCGGCGGCGUGCUUGCCGCCUCCCUCGGGGCUCUUGCCGAGCGCCGACGCGAGCGCCGCGAUGCGCGUGACCGCGGCCAGCAGCGCCGGCGGCUCGCCGGCGGCGGCCUCCACGGCCCACUUCUCCUCGGCGCCCUCGGAGCUGGCGACCAGCAGCUCGACGGCGGACGCGAACCUGUCCAGCGUCGCCUCCGUGACGCUCACCGGCGUGCCCUCGUCCUGGCCCGCGAGGAACGCGUCCACCUCCGCCGACAACGCGGCGAGGUCCGGCUCGCCGCAGCAUCCCCCUCCCACCGAGCCCGGACCCUCGCCGCCUCCUCGCGCGGCCCCAUGGUCACCACCUCCCUCUUGCUCGUCCUCCUCGCUGAUGGACUGCUCUCUGGAGCCUCCGUACGGGAGGUCCCUCUUGUCGCGGAGCGCGCCGAGGGAGAAGUUGCGGUCGACCUCCCGGGUCCUGCCGCCGCCCUCGUCGCGGGUUGUCGCCGGCGAGAAGCUGCUGGACUUGUAGGGCGCUUGGCUCCGGCUGUCCAUCUCUAGUGGGUGGGCGGCCGAGGGAAGAAUGAGCAACGGCGAGGCCAGUGGUUGUUUGUUCGCAUGGAUGGCUGAGGACG
RNAcentral lists this unclassified non-coding RNA (1035 nucleotides) under Zea mays. Its description in RNAcentral is "misc RNA Zm00001eb139360". Lineage: Eukaryota; Viridiplantae; Streptophyta; Magnoliopsida; Poales; Poaceae. The record is from RNAcentral.